GAUGAACGCUGGCGGCGUGCCUAACACAUGCAAGUCGAGCGGCAGCGAGUGGUGCUUGCACCAUGUCGGCGAGCGGCGGACGGCUGAGUAACGCGUGGGGACGUUCCCCUAAGUGAGGAAUAACUGCCCGAAAGGGUAGCUAAUACCGCAUUUUAUCUUCUGAUCACAGGUUUUAUCCGUUUUGGGUGCGGUUCCCUUCGGAUUAGGUGGUUGGUCAGUUAAUUGCUCAGCUAGCCGACGAUCCGUAGCUGGGAGGAGAGGAUGACCAACAAGACUGGAAGUGAGACAAGGACGAGACUCCUACGGGAGGAAGAAGUGAGGAAUCAUCAACAAUGGGCGAAAGAAUGAUGGAGCAACGUCGCGUGCAGGACGAAGGAGUUCGGGUUGUAAGCUGCUGUUAAAAGUGAAGAAUAUGACGGUAACUUAUGAAUAAGGAACGGCUAACUACGUG
RNAcentral lists this ribosomal RNA (451 nucleotides) under uncultured bacterium. RNAcentral describes it as "partial 16S ribosomal RNA". It matches the Rfam family "Bacterial small subunit ribosomal RNA", at positions 28 to 507 of the family's 1533-position model. The record is from RNAcentral.